UUUUUUUUUUAUCUGGACCACUUUUCCCACAGACUAAUAAUACUGCAGACUCACACACUGCUCCGUGUAGAAAGAGGUUGCUGCGAAGGCAGCGAGCCAGGAGGAAAGGGAUUUUUUUUUGAGAGGAACCUUAAUGUCGGCAUCGCAGCUGCAAAACGUGACGCAUCCUUCCGUAUCCCUUUUGUGCGCUCGACUCGUCUGCAUCUGCUUGGCGUGUGGCGGCGCUCCACUCCGGGGACUGCAUUGUGGCGGCCUGUUUAUCGAAGCACUUUGAAUUAGAUGCGGCAGAGGGGG
This is a long non-coding RNA of Hippocampus comes (tiger tail seahorse), 294 nucleotides long. RefSeq lists it as uncharacterized. NCBI's taxonomy places the organism in Eukaryota, Metazoa, Chordata, Actinopteri, Syngnathiformes, Syngnathidae. The record is from RefSeq and is a predicted model, not a curated record. The transcript has 2 exons.